UAGUCCACGCCGUAAACGAUGGAUACUAGGUGUAGGAGGUAUCGACCCCUCCUGUGCCGCAGCUAACGCAAUAAGUAUCCCACCUGGGGAGUACGGUCGCAAGACUGAAACUCAAAGGAAUUGACGGGGGCCCGCACAAGCGGUGGAGCAUGUGCUUUAAUUCGAUGCAACGCGAAGAACCUUACCUGGUCUUGACAUGGGAGUGAAAGUCUCUAGAGAUAGAGGACCUUCCUUCGGGAACACUCCACACAGGUGCUGCAUGGUUGUCGUCAGCUCGUGUCGUGAGAUGUUGGGUUAAGUCCCGUAACGAGCGCAACCCCUAUCCUUAGUUGCCAUCAGGUUAUGCUGGGAACUCUAGGGAGACUGCCUGGAUUAACCAGGAGGAAGGUGGGGAUGACGUCAAAUCCUCAUGGCCCUUACGACCAGGGCUAGACACGUGCUACAAUGGGCGGUACAACAGGAGGCGAAGUCGCGAGAUGGAGCUAAUCCUUCAAAACCGUUCUCAGUUC
Molecule: ribosomal RNA, 509 nt
Filed under: uncultured bacterium
Lineage: Bacteria
Description: bacterial SSU rRNA
Rfam family: Bacterial small subunit ribosomal RNA
Source: RNAcentral